GAUGAAGAACGCAGCGAAAUGCGAAAAGUAAUGUGAAUUGCAGAAUUCAGUGAAUCAUCGAAUCUUUGAACGCACAUUGCGCCCGCCAGUAUUCUGGCGGGCAUGCCUGUUCGAGCGUCAUUACAACCCUCAGGCCCCCGGGCCUGGCGUUGGGGAUCGGCGGAGCCCCCCGUGGGCACACGCCGUCCCCCAAAUGCAGUGGCGGUCCCGCCGCAGCUUCCAUCGCGUAGUAGCUAACACCUCGCGACUGGAGAGCGGCGCGGCCACGCCGUAAAACACCCAACUCUUCUGAAGUUGACCUCGAAUCAGGUAGGAAUACCCGCUGAACUUAAGCAUAUCAAUAAGCGGAGGA
Molecule: unclassified non-coding RNA, 352 nt
Filed under: soil metagenome
Description: partial contains 5.8S ribosomal RNA, internal transcribed spacer 2, and large subunit ribosomal RNA
Rfam family: 5.8S ribosomal RNA (bases 1-120)
Source: RNAcentral